UACGGAGGGUGCGAGCGUUAUCCGGAUUCACUGGGUUUAAAGGGUGCGUAGGUGGGACUGUAAGUCAGUGGUGAAAUCUCUGGGCUUAACUCAGAAACUGCCAUUGAUACUAUGUUUCUUGAAUUUUCUGGAGGUCAGCGGAAUAUGUCAUGUAGCGGUGAAAUGCUUAGGUAUGACAUAGAACACCAAUUGCGAAGGCAGCUGGCUACAGGGAUAUUGACACUGAGGCACGAAAGCGUGGGGAGCAAACAGG
RNAcentral lists this ribosomal RNA (253 nucleotides) under uncultured bacterium. RNAcentral describes it as "partial 16S ribosomal RNA". It matches the Rfam family "Bacterial small subunit ribosomal RNA", at positions 524 to 776 of the family's 1533-position model. The record is from RNAcentral.